GGCUUUAAGGAGUUAUGGUAUUGUGUAGGGGGUGGUUCUGUAUUAGAGAAUAGGUUAGAGCUUUUGACUAAUGAUAGAAGAGCCAUGCAUAUGAUAAAUUUAGCUAGGCUCAAUGGUCAAGUGCAUCUAUUUGUUGUUCACCUAGCCUCCCAACCUGAGAUCAUAUACUUGUUAGAAAAUGCUUCUCAUGAUAUAGGUGAAGUAGAAGCUGAAAAUGUGAUGCCUGAUAGUGGUAAGGGUGAGUGUGAAAAGGAAGGUGGUGGUGAGUGUGAAGAAGAAGUUGAUGGUGAGUGUGAAAAGGAAGGUAGUGGUCAGAGAGCUGAAUAAGGUGAUGGUGAGUGUGAAAGGGAAGGUGGUGGUCAGAGAGUUGAACAAGGUGAUGAUGAGUGUGAAAAGGAAGGUGGUCAUGAUGAGUGUGAGCAGCAAGGUGAUGGUGAUGGUGAGUGUGAACAACAAGGUGAUGCUGAGUGUGAGCAACAAGGUCAUGGUCAAGAUAUUGUACCUGUUGAAGAAGAAAGAUGUCAGGGUGAUGGGGUUGUUGAAGGUCAAAUUGAAACCCAAUGUGAAGGAGAUACUGCUAUUGUCCGUAGUUGUAGCUCUAGUGGUGAGGAUAACAAUGGUGAUGGCAAUGUUCUAGUCUAAAAACACAAUACACAAACGAUCAGGUAAGGAAACACAAAAGAAAAACAACAAACGACGACAUAUCUAAGCCAUACACAAAACACAAUACAUCAUGUUCUAGUCUAAAAACUUAUAUAGUUCUUCUUCAUGGACUAUGGAUGAGUUUCGUAGUGUGAUGGCUUAGCCUCGAGGACAGGAACAUGGUAGUGGGUCUGGAGCUGCUGAAACUUCAGGAGGACAAAAUGAUGACCAGGAGGAUGAUGAAGAUUUUGAGGAUGCCCAGGAGGAUAAGGAUGAUGAUGACUCAGAUGAGGAUCUACGUUGAGAGCAUCUACCGAUGGAUGCCAGCAUAUGAUAGAGAUUUUUCUUUUUCUUUUUCUUUGUACUUUG
Molecule: long non-coding RNA, 1011 nt
Filed under: Vigna radiata
Lineage: Eukaryota; Viridiplantae; Streptophyta; Magnoliopsida; Fabales; Fabaceae
Description: long non-coding RNA (VRAD_LNC001749)
Source: RNAcentral